UCAGGUGAUCCACCCACCUCAGCCUCUCAAAGUUCUGGAAUUAUAGGCGUGAGCCAUUGCACCCAGCCUGGACUUGGAGGAUUUUAAAGCUCACUGACUUCUGAAUGCUUUUAUUGACUCUGCCGUCUGCAAUUAUUUAAUGCCUAAGGAAGCAUUUCCAUUCUUGCUAAUAAAGCCAAUGGUCCCUCCUGUGUUUUUUGUUGAGAUCUUGACCCUUUCCAGAUGAUCUUCUUUGACAUGACCAGAUGUGACCCCAUUCUGACUCCUUCUUACAAAAUGCCCACAACUGGUCCGUAGGGAAACACUCACAUAUUAUGAACCCCAGAGUAAUUUGGGCAUUGGUGAUUCCCCACUCAGCAAAUUUCUCUUUGCUCCAGCAUAAGUAGAGCUAGACAGUCACUUGGACUUUAGGUUUCUCAUAUACAUGGGUCAGACACCAGUCUAUACGCACAUCAAAAUGCAGGGGACACAUAUUAGGGAUUCUAAAGAGGUUCUGUUGAAGUUUCUUUCCCCACGCUGAGGUGAGGAAAGAGAUCUCCUAUUCUUCAGAGCAAAAAUCACAGCUUAUCAAUAACUUUUUCCAAAUAAGUUCCCCUUUUUAAUUUCAGAUACUAGGACUUUGAUGUAGGUAUAGCAUUUUAGAAUUGUGUAACUGGUUUCUCAGAAUCCUCCUUUGGAAAUUCAACAUAUGGCCUUACACCUCUUUGGGAAUGUGCUAAUUAUUGUCUUGGGGCUACAGCCAAAACUUCCAUUUUAAUAUUCCAUUAUAUAUAAUUAUUACUUCUGGAUAAAAUCGAUUUCCAUGCUUUUGUGCACUUUAUUUUCUUCUCUUUCUCUCCUAUCAGAACAACUGAAUUGGAGCCAUAUGGUGGGAAGAAAGGAGUGUUAUAUAUUUCACAUACCUAUUUAGAUGGUGAGGGAGAUGUUCAAGGAGCCCAGUGUUUGAAGAUAGCACAAUCAUUUAUCUCAUAACUCUUGAUAUGCUAUUAUUCCCUCCAUUUGGGUUGGCCUGUUAAUGGUCUUCCUUGGUGAAUUUCCAUAUGAGAGGCAGUUUGAUAUAGGAGUUAUGCACAGAGUCCGGGGUUAGACCAUUUGGAUCAAAUUCCAGCUCCACAAUUUAUUAGUUGUGUGUCUUUGGGCAAGUUAUUUAAUCUCUAUGAACCUCAAUUUUCUUAUCUGUAGAAUGGGAGUAAUAGUACUUGCCUCUCAGAGUUGUGAGAAUUAGAUGAGUUAAUAUAUAUAAGACUUUUAGAACAAUGCUUGGUAUAUAGCAAGUGCUAUGUAAGUAGUAGCAGCAGUAGCAGUACUUGUGAUUACUAAUACCACUGGUAUUCAUUCUUUAAGUUUCAGUUUAAAUAUUACGUAGUUUGUGAAGCCUUUUGCAAUUCUCCCAAUCAGAAUAAACCAGCCUCUAAUCCAUGGACUCAGAAUGAAUGAAUGGUCUACUGCCACCCUUGUCACAGGGGACCAAGCAACCUUGGAGAAUCCACCUGCAACAUUCCUCAGAGAAGCUGCAACAUUACUUUAAAAGAAGUUACAGCAGUGCAUACUAUUGUUGCUUUCCUACAAUGUAGCAAACAGAAACUUUGGUUCCAGAAUGUUCCUGAAUAUAACACAGUAAAAUUUCUUGAUAGGAGUGCUUCACAAAAGAUGUCAUUGAAGAUACCCAGUUUGGAAGUUAAGGCAUUGGCUCUGACAUUACUUUUGCCCCAUCUAAGCUUAGUUUGGUAGAGUCAUAUAUAGGGCAGGAUCUAGCUAAUAAUUGUCCUUAACUCAAAAGCAUAAUCUUAUUUCAGGUAGAAAGCCACACUAACUUAAUUGCCAACCAGAUAAAUGGUGAUCACUUGAAAUCUGUUUUAUACUUAUAAAUAAAUCUUGAAAUAUUAAUUAUCCGUGCUUAAAAGAUGAAAUGAUAUUUUGACAACAGCCACAACUUGGUUCAAAUGUCCCAAAUGUUCUACAAUAUUUUGAGAGGUUGUUGGUAAGCAGAAUUACUUAAGGAACAGAAAAUAACUAGAAAUGAUAUUGAAGCAACAUAACAAAAUUUAGCAUAAACCUUUACUUUUAUAAUUCAUAUAAAUUACUUAUAAGCUCUUUCUAUUAAGCAUUUACAAAUGGUUCUGCUAAAUAUUUUCUUAGCAAUAUUUCCCUUCUAAGUUCCUUUUGAUUACUGUUCCGAGACAUCUGUUCUUUUUUUUUUUUUUUUCCCUUUCCCUCUAGGUAAGUCAACCAGAGCAAAAUAUCUAUUCUUAAGUGUGGGUAUCAUUUGAGACUGUAGUUGAAGGUUACAUGGCAUAUCUAUAUCAUUACCUCUGUUUUCUAAUUCAUUUGGCUCCAUGGCCAUAACCAGAGGAUAUAAAAUAAAGGUUCCAGUAAAUAUCUCUUGAAA
Homo sapiens (human) is the source of this 2389-nucleotide long non-coding RNA. RefSeq lists it as uncharacterized. The transcript has 2 exons. NCBI's taxonomy places the organism in Eukaryota, Metazoa, Chordata, Mammalia, Primates, Hominidae. The record is from RefSeq and is a predicted model, not a curated record.